UUGAUUCAUAUGAUGAUCAAUUGCAUAGUUCAGAUGAGAUUGUCAAUCACUGAUUAAUGUAUUGAAAUAGUCUUUCGCUUCUAUCUGAUGACUCAU
Molecule: non-coding RNA, 96 nt
Organism: Thalictrum thalictroides
Lineage: Eukaryota; Viridiplantae; Streptophyta; Magnoliopsida; Ranunculales; Ranunculaceae
Source: the annotation of a GenBank genome assembly